GACGUAGUUCAGUUGGUUAGAGCGUCAGAUUGUGGUUCUGAAUGUCGUGGGUUCGAGUCCCACCUUC
RNAcentral lists this transfer RNA (67 nucleotides) under Prevotella bivia. It matches the Rfam family "tRNA". From Rfam's summary of the family: Transfer RNA (tRNA) molecules are approximately 80 nucleotides in length. Their secondary structure includes four short double-helical elements and three loops (D, anti-codon, and T loops). RNAcentral also lists the same sequence under 9 other names. The record is from RNAcentral. Lineage: Bacteria; Pseudomonadati; Bacteroidota; Bacteroidia; Bacteroidales; Prevotellaceae.